ACCUGACUGCUAUCGGAUUGAUACUAAGCCAUGCGAGUCAUUGUAGCAAUACAAGGCAUACGGCUCAGUAACGCGUAGUCAACCUAACCUAUGGACGGGAAUAACCUCGGGAAACUGAGAAUAAUGCCCGAUAGAACACUAUACCUGGAAUGGUUUGUGUUCCAAAUGAUUUAUCGCCAUAGGAUGGGACUACGGCCUAUCAGUUUGUUGGUGAGGUAAUGGCCCACCAAGACUAUUACAGGUACGGGCUCUGAGAGGAGUAGCCCGGAGAUGGGUACUGAGACACGGACCCAGGCCCUAUGGGGCGCAGCAGGCGAGAAAACUUUGCAAUGUGCGAAAGCACGACAAGGUUAAUCCGAGUGAUUUGUGCUAAACGAAUCUUUUGUUAGUCCUAGAAACACUAACGAAUAAGGGGUGGGCAAGUUCUGGUGUCAGCCGCCGCGGUAAAACCAGCACCUCAAGUGGUCAGGAUGAUUAUUGGGCCUAAAGCAUCCGUAGCCGGCUCUGUAAGUUUUCGGUUAAAUCUGUACGCUUAACGUACAGGCUGCCGGGAAUACUGCAGAGCUAGGGAGUGGGAGAGGUAGACGGUACUCGGUAGGAAGUGGUAAAAUGCUUUGAUCUAUCGAUGACCACCUGUGGCGAAGGCGGUCUACCAGAACACGUCCGACGGUGAGGGAUGAAAGCUGGGGGAGCAAACCGGAUUAGAUACCCGGGUAGUCCCAGCUGUAAACUAUGCAAACUCAGUGAUGCAUUGGCUUGUGGCCAAUGCAGUGCUGCAGGGAAGCCGUUAAGUUUGCCGCCUGGGAAGUACGUACGCAAGUAUGAAACUUAAAGGAAUUGGCGGGGGAGCACCACAAGGGGUGAAGCCUGCGGUUCAAUUGGAGUCAACGCCGGG
This 895-nucleotide ribosomal RNA is filed under the name uncultured archaeon. RNAcentral's name for it is "bacterial SSU rRNA". It matches the Rfam family "Archaeal small subunit ribosomal RNA", at positions 21 to 922 of the family's 1478-position model. The record is from RNAcentral.